RNAcentral lists this long non-coding RNA (2223 nucleotides) under Oncorhynchus kisutch (coho salmon). RNAcentral's name for it is "lncRNA (ENSOKIG00005024392.1)". The record is from RNAcentral. Lineage: Eukaryota; Metazoa; Chordata; Actinopteri; Salmoniformes; Salmonidae.
AUGGGGUUACCCCCCCCCCCCCCCCAUCCACCACCCUCUGUCUCUACCACUGGGAUCAACCUUCUGGUCCAGAGUCAUGGGGUUACCCCCCCCCCCAUCCACCACCCUCUGCCUCUACCACUGGGAUCAACCUUCUGGUCCAGAGUCAUGGGGUUACCCCCCCCCCCAUCCACCACCCUCUGCCUCUACCACUGGGAUCAACCUUCUGGUCCAGAGUCAUGGGGUUACCCCCCCCCCCCAUCCACCACCCUCUGCCUCUACCACUGGGAUCAACCUUCUGGUCCAGAGUCAUGGGGUUACCCCCCCCCCCCAUCCACCACCCUCUGUCUCUACCACUGGGAUCAACCUUCUGGUCCAGAGUCAUGGGGUUACCCCCCCCCCCCCCCAUCCACCACCCUCUGCCUCUACCACUGGGAUCAACCUUCUGGUCCAGAGUCAUGGGGUUACCCCCCCCCCCCAUCCACCACCCUCUGUCUCUACUACUGGGAUCAACCUUCUGGUCCAGAGUCAUGGGGUUACCCCCCCCCCCCCAUCCACCACCCUCUGUCUCUACCACUGGGAUCAACCUUCUGGUCCAGAGUCAUGGGGUUACCCCCCCCCCCCCCCCCCCAUCCACCACCCUCUGUCUCUACCACUGGGAUCAACCUUCUGGUCCAGAGUCAUGGGGUUACCCCCCCCCCCCAUCCACCACCCUCUGUCUCUACCACUGGGAUCAACCUUCUGGUCCAGAGUCAUGGGGUUACCCCCCCCCCCCCCAUCCACCACCCUCUGUCUCUAUCACUGGGAUCAACCUUCUGGUCCAGAGUCAUGGGGUUACCCCCCCCCCCCCCCAUCCACCACCCUCUGCCUCUACCACUGGGAUCAACCUUCUGGUCCAGAGUCAUGGGGUUACCCCCCCCCCCCCCAUCCACCACCCUCUGUCUCUACUACUGGGAUCAACCUUCUGGUCCAGAGUCAUGGGGUUACCCCCCCCCCCCCCAUCCACCACCCUCUGUCUCUACCACUGGGAUCAACCUUCUGGUCCAGAGUCAUGGGGUUACCCCCCCCCCCCCCCCAUCCACCACCCUCUGUCUCUAUCUCUGGGAUCAACAUUCUGGUCCAGAGUCAUGGGGUUACCCCCCCCAAUCACCCAUCACCCUCUGUCUCUACCACUGGGAUCAAACUUCUGGUCCAGAGUCAUGGGGUUACUCCCCAAUCCACCACCCUCUGUCUCUACCACUGGGAUCAACCUUCUGGUCCAGAGUCAUGGGGUUACCCCCCCCCCCCAUCCACCACCCUCUGCCUCUACCACUGGGAUCAACCUUCUGGUCCAGAGUCAUGGGGUUACCCCCCCCCCCAUCCACCACCCUCUGCCUCUACCACUGGGAUCAACCUUCUGGUCCAGAGUCAUGGGGUUACCCCCCCCCCCAUCCACCACCCUCUGCCUCUACCACUGGGAUCAACCUUCUGGUCCAGAGUCAUGGGGUUACCCCCCCCCCCCAUCCACCACCCUCUGUCUCUACCACUGGGAUCAACCUUCUGGUCCAGAGUCAUGGGGUUACCCCCCCCCCCCCAUCCACCACCCUCUGUCUCUACUACUGGGAUCAACCUUCUGGUCCAGAGUCAUGGGGUUACCCCCCCCCCCCCAUCCACCACCCUCUGUCUCUACCACUGGGAUCAACCUUCUGGUCCAGAGUCAUGGGGUUACCCCCCCCCCCCCCCCCCCCCCAUCCACCACCCUCUGUCUCUACCACUGGGAUCAACCUUCUGGUCCAGAGUCAUGGGGUUACCCCCCCCCCCCCAUCCACCACCCUCUGUCUCUACCACUGGGAUCAACCUUCUGGUCCAGAGUCAUGGGGUUACCCCCCCCCCCAUCCACCACCCUCUGUCUCUAUCACUGGGAUCAACAUUCUGGUCCAGAGUCAUGGGGUUACCCCCCCCCCCCAUCACCCUCUGUCUCUACCACUGGGAUCAACCUACUGGUCCAGAGUCAUGGGGUUACCCCCCCCCCCCAUCCACCACCCUCUGUCUCUACCACUGGGAUCAACCUUCUGGUCCAGAGUCAUGGGGUUACCCCCCCCCCCCCAUCCACCACCCUCUGUCUCUACCACUGGGAUCAACCUUCUGGUCCAGAGUCAUGGGGUUACCCCCCCACCACCCUCUGUCUCUACCACUGGGAUCAACCUUCUGGUCCAGAGUCAUGGGGUUACCCCCCCCCCCCAUCCACCACCCUCUGUCUCUACU